This 3495-nucleotide long non-coding RNA is filed under the name Pelobates cultripes (western spadefoot toad). Lineage: Eukaryota; Metazoa; Chordata; Amphibia; Anura; Pelobatidae. The record is from RNAcentral.
GUGUGUGUGUGUGUUCUGCGGUCUGUGUGUGUGUGUAUUCUGCAGUCUGUGUGAUGUGUGUGUGUGUAUGUGUGUGUGUGUAUUCAGCAGUCUCUGUGAUGUGUGUGUAUGUGUGUGUGUGUGUGUGUGUGUGUGUAUUCAGCAGUCUCUGUGAUGUGUGUAUGUGUGUGUGUGUGUGUAUUCAGCAGUCUCUGUGAUGUGUGUGUGUGUGUGUAUUCAGCAGUCUUUGUGUGUAUUUAGCAGUGUGUAUGUGUGUUUUUAUCGGCGUGUGUAUGUAUUCAGCAGUCAGAUGGGAGAAUGGUGAGAGAAAUAGAACCAGAAGAUUCAUCUGUUAUAAACGGACACGCAUUGUUAUAUACUAUAUACACAAUAACAUACACAGACAUAGUAGACACACACUCACAGUAUACAGACAACAAUAUGCACACAUUGCUAUACACACACACACACACAAUGCUACACACACACACACAUUAUGCUAUACACACAGUCAGACAGAACACACACAUUGUAAGUAGUUUAUUAGUGAUUUAGGGAAUUUUCUCCUUCCAAAUGUUCUCAUUCUCUUAAAUACAUUGUGUCCUGCGAUGUCACGUAUAUUUAAUAAUUUAUGCAAAUUAGCAUGGCCGGUAUUUUUUUCCAAAAAAAGGUGGCAACCGUAUACAUGGCCCAGGAAAUCACAGUUAAAUUCCCAGAAGUCACAUCUUAAAACUUACUAAAACCUUUCAUGAAAGAUUUUAGAUUUUACAUUAGUGGUAUAGUAGGAUGAUUUGGAUAAAGUAACAUUACUAGCACCCACAACUCAGCUAAAACAAAGUCAUACAAUAUAUAGAGUGCAAUCAAUAAGUAAAAAACAAUAUAGUAAAUAAUAAACAGUAUCAUAUUAAUAAAAGCAGCUGGAAACUUCCUAACAAUUUCAGCACAUACAAUGUACUAAUAAUCGUGUUAGCGCUAUAUAGGAGGUGCCCACAAUUGUAUGCUGGGCGCUCCUAAAGUGAUCUUAAGGAAGAAAAAUAACAACCACUUAUUGCAUUAAAAUAUCAAUUUGUUAUAAGAAACCUAAAUAGUAUCCACAAUUGAUUUUUGGCAAUAUAUAUAUUCUUCCUCAAAAGAAUGUGUAAUAAUGUCCCAGAGUCCUUUGGUGUUGGAGUGGUUGAUCUUGCCACAUAAGUAAGAUCCACAGGCUUGGAAUACAGUGUAUACCGCAACAAAUAGUACCUUAGAAAGAUACAAAAGAAAUCCUCAUAGUCAUAGUGCAACACUGUUUUAAUUAUUAAAAGUUAAAAAACCCUCUCCCCAAAAAGGAACCACUACAUGGACAAAUGGUGGUACUUGUUUCCAAGACACCACAAACACACAUGGGUUUUAACGAGUGCAAUAGAUGUUACCCCCCGUCCUUCAGAUCUCAUCGCUCAGACUUAAAUCUCCCUUCUGUGCAGCUGAGUAUCAGAGCCGGUAUCGGUAGUCACUCCGUGUUCACCCUUCCAGAACAGAGGCCAUUUCACAGUGAGAAUCACGCAAGCGCCUCUAGCGGCUGUCAAUGAGACAGCCACUAGAGGCUUUAGAGGCUGGAUUAACCCAUUUAUAAACAUAGCAGUUUCUCUGAAACUGCUAUGUUUAUAAAAAAAAAGGGGUUAAUCCUAGAGGGACCUGGCACCCAGACCACUUCAUUAAGCUGAAGUGGUCUGGGUGCCUAGAGUGGUCCUUUAAUUUUGUGGCCCCUCACAAGAUGAUUGUCUUAAAUGAUCAAAUGCUAAGACUGCUUCGUGAUAGGAUAGUUAACAACAAUCAGAAUGUAAGAUGGUGGAGUAAGAAUUAACCUUAAAAUACUGCGAGAUUUUAUGAUUGGGUACAAAUUUGAGUCUGUAUUGAAAAUCUAUGUUUAUAACAAAACACAGAAGGGCUAAAAUAUUCUAAAUAUAUAGUUUGAUUAAAACGUGUGAAUUUGUGAAAUGUGCUUUGAGAAUUAUUGUUAAUAAGAGCUUCUAAAUUUGAGAUAUUUUAUUCCUGACCCUAUAGUGUUUAACCCACCAUUUAGGUGCUUCCCCCCCACCCUUAGCCGCUUAGAAAAGGUGAAAAUUCACCUUAAUUCCAGCGCCGCCUUCUUGGUGACAUCAUUGGAAUUGCCGAUUUUUAGCCAAUCCAAUGCUUUCCCAUAGGGAGAGCAUUGGAUUGGCUGAUAUUAGGAAGGGGGAGGAGGCGGGGCCAAAUGCUAUUUUUAGCCAAUCAGCACCUCCUUAUAGAGAUGCAUUGAAUCAAUGUAUCUCUAGGAGGAAAUUUCAGCGUCCCCAUGUAGAGCGUGGGGACGCUGAACGGCAGUGCUGCCCACUGUGCAGCACUGAGCCAGGAAGCACUUCCAGUGGCCAUCUGAGGAGUGGCCACUUGGAGGUGUCCCUAGGGGCAAUGUAAGCACUGCCUUUUCUCUGAAAAGGUGGCGUUUGCAUGAAAAUGCCUGAAGGCAAUGAUUAUACUCACUAGAACAACUACAUUAAGCUGUAGUUGUUCUGGUGACUAUAGUGUCCCUUUAAGUUAAAUGCUGUUAUAUUGCCAUCAGUUAUUGAGUCUUUGUAAGUGUGUUAGAGUUAGUAUUGCUUCCUAGGUUGACUGGUGAAGCAGGUUAUAUAUGCAUGUGAGUAGCUGGUUAUGUAUGUGUCUCAAAUGACGUAUUAGUUUGUGUAAACAAGGGGAGCAGCAACAUUGUCAUUCAAUGGCCUGCAAAUGGUAAGGGCAGCCUUGUUAUGGUAGAAAGAGGCAAGGUGUGAGGUUUAUAUUAUGCUUUUGAUAAACUGGACACCAAAUACAUCAGUUUAGAUGGCACAGAGUUAAUAAAACUGAGAAUUGCCAUUCCGGUUAGAAUUUUGGAACUGGGUAGUCGUUAUAGAGACUGAGAUAAGACACAACAUGGACAAAGCCCAACACAAAUUAAAAAGGUAAAGACAAAUAAUUAUGUCUGUCUCAUUUAUCAUUGUAAUAGUCUUUAAAAUUGAUCAUCCUUCAUAAUCCUUCAUAAUUUCUAUAGCUUUGGUUAUAUUUGUUAUUCACAAUAAAAUUAAUAUUCAUUUUCUCAACUAUCCGUGUGUCGUUAAUUGAAAAUAAAUAGGGCUGGCAUUCCAAAGGACCAUGACAAACCUGCUAAACUUGUUACUUUAAUUAUCUAUGAAUUUGUAAGACUUUCUUCAUUAAAAUGUGUUGGUGAUUACUGGAAAAUCUCCUGAAAUGGACAACAACUAAGUUAUGUUUUAUUUUGUUUGUAAAAUACGUGGUUUAGAGUAAUUUACAACUUGUAUUCAGCCAAUCACAAUACAGCUAUUAUACGGACUGUGAUACAGUGAUUAAUAAAUGUACAGAUACAGCAUAAAAUAAUGACAAUUUUGUGUCUGCUCUAAAAUACAUCGUCAAGCAAAAAGGGAAUUGGGGGUACAACUAGACAGUGCUGUACUAAGGGAGGGGGCGGACCCCCAUGGUUACCUCUCAUCAAGGGGUUGCCAUUUGCCG